Molecule: ribosomal RNA, 332 nt
Filed under: uncultured bacterium
Lineage: Bacteria
Description: bacterial SSU rRNA
Rfam family: Bacterial small subunit ribosomal RNA
Source: RNAcentral
CAGGUAGGUGGCUAGAUAAGUCUGUUGUGUAAGCUCCUGGCUUAACUGGGAGAGGUCAACGGAAACUAUCAAGCUUGAGUAUAGGAGAGGGUACUGGAAUUCCCGGUGUAGCGGUGAAAUGCGCAGAGAUCGGGAGGAACACCAAUGGCGAAAGCAGGUACCUGGACUAUUACUGACACUCAGCUGCGAAAGCUAGGGGAGCAAACAGGAUUAGAUACCCUGGUAGUCCUAGCUGUAAACGAUGCACAUUAGACGUGAGGGGUAUCGACCCCCUUCGUGUCGACGCAAACGCAUUAAAUGUGCCGCCUGGGGAGUACGGCCGCAAGGUUGAA